CUGCGGCGCGAUAGGAAACUACGGGGCGUACUUGCCAAUGGCAGAAGGGCACGGAGGAGCCCAGACGACGGCGAAAAUGGCGAGCGACUGUGCAGCAGCCUCAGGCGGGGAGCAGCAAGCAGGGUGCGACGCCGUGCAAAUGAACAGGGGCGAGGGGCUGGCGAGCUCGGGCAGGGGAAGGAAUGCUCCGUUGGCAUGACUUUUAUAGAAGGGGGAGAGGAAGAGGCGGCCGGGACUUCAAUCGACCAUCAAUGGCGUUUAUGGAGCUUCAAUGAGAGAGUAAAUGGGGGAGAGAAGGGGGAAGAAAGAAACGUCGCAGUGAAGUUCCUUAACGCAGAAGAAACGGACGGCGCACUCGGGCUUCGCGCGGGGUCGGUCAGUGCAGGAGGCAGGGCGUCGCGCGCGUGCUCGGGGUCGGCUCUGCUGGCGCUCGGCUCGCGCAGGGCGCGCAGGGGUCCGGACGCCGGUCGGGGUCGCCUGCUUGGUCUCCUGGGCGUGGUGUGCGCGUGUCUGGGUGCUGCUGGCGUUUGGGAGAGAGUCGUGAGGGAGAUAGAAUAG
RNAcentral lists this unclassified non-coding RNA (558 nucleotides) under Zea mays. Its description in RNAcentral is "misc RNA Zm00001eb223310". Lineage: Eukaryota; Viridiplantae; Streptophyta; Magnoliopsida; Poales; Poaceae. The record is from RNAcentral.